AGUCUGGUGCCAGCAGCCGCGGUAAUUCCAGCUCCAAUAGCAUAUAUUAAAAUUGUUGCAGUUAAAACGUUCGUAGUUGAAUAUUAAAGAAUCCGAUGUUUCAUUUAAACUGGUUUGGGAAAACCAAAUAUAUUAUAUAUUUUGCUUUGUUCAAAAUAAGGUUUUCUAAUAAAUUAUGUUUUUAUCAGAUAUGACAGAAUCUUUUUUAAAAUCUCUUCAAUAUGCUUUUAUUGCUUUUGAGAGGUUUUGUUACUUUGAGUAAAAUUAAGUGUUCAUAACAGACGGGUAGUCAUGAUUGAGUUCAUUGUGUUUGAAUACUACAGCAUGGAAUAACAAAUAUGAAUAAGCUAAUUAUUUUUUUUUUUCAUAAUUUUUUUUGAUAUUCUUAUUAGCUUAGUUACGAUUAAUAGGAGUAGCUUUGGGGGCAUUCGUAUUCAGAUGUCAGAGGUGAAAUUCUAAGAUUUUCUGGAGACGGACUACUGCGAAAGCAUUUGCCUAAUCUAUUUCCAUUAAUCAAGAACGAAAGUUAAGGGAGUGAAGACGAUCAGAUACCGUCGUAAUCUUAACCAUAAACUAUACCGACUAGGUGUUGGAUGAAUAUAAAAAAUAUAUAAAUAUGUAGCAUUUCUUAGGGAAUGUUGAUUUUAUAUUAGAAUUGCUUCCUUCAGUACCUUAUGAGAAAUCAAAGUCUUUGGGUUCUGGGGCGAGUAUUCGCGCAAGCGAGAAAGUUAAAAGAAUUGACGGAAGGGCACCACCAGGCGUGGAGCUUGCGGCUUAAUUUGACUCAACACGGGAAAACUCACUAGUUUAAGACAAGAGUAGGAUUGACAGAUUAAUAGCUCUUUCUUGAUUUCUUGGAUGGUGAUGCAUGGCCGUUUUUAGUUCGUGAAUAUGAUUUGUCUGGUUAAUUCCGAUAACGAACGAGAUCUUAACCUGCUAAUUAGCGGUAAGUACACUAUAUUUUUAUUUGAAAUUGAAUAUAGGUAAUUAUACAUGUUUAUUCAGUGUUCAAAUUAGGAUAUUUUUUUAUUAAAAUAUUCUUUUCCCUGUUCUACUAUAAUAAUUUGUUUUUUUUUACUCUAUUUCUCUCUUCUUUUAAGAAUGUACUUGUUUGAUUAAAUAAAGCUUCUUAGAGGAACAGUGUGUAUCUAACACAAGGAAGUUUAAGGCAACAACAGGUCUGUGAUGUCCUUAGAUAAACUAGGCUGCACGCGUGCUACAAUGAUAUAUAUAACAAGUUGUUAAAAAUGUACUUAUAAAUAAGUGUGUACAGUUUUUCCUGUACUGAAAAGUAUAGGUAAUCUUUAUCAGUAUAUAUCGUAAUUGGGAUAGAUUAUUGCAAUUAUUAAUCUUGAACGAGGAAUGCCUAGUAAGCAUGAUUCAUUAGAUUGUGCUGACUACGUCCCUGCCCUUUGUACACACCGCCCGUCGCUCCUACCGAUUGAAAGAUAUGAUAAAUUGUUUGGAUAUGAAUUAAAAUAAUGAAAUUUUAUAUUUCUGAUUUUUUCUAGAAGAACUGUAAAUCCUAUCUUUUAAAGGAAGGAGAAGUCGUAACAAGGUUUCCGUAGGUGAACCUGCGGAAG
This 1583-nucleotide ribosomal RNA is filed under the name Plasmodium falciparum 327.1. RNAcentral describes it as "SSU rRNA". It matches the Rfam family "Eukaryotic small subunit ribosomal RNA", at positions 558 to 1823 of the family's 1831-position model. Lineage: Eukaryota; Apicomplexa; Aconoidasida; Haemosporida; Plasmodiidae. The record is from RNAcentral.